Molecule: ribosomal RNA, 471 nt
Filed under: uncultured bacterium
Lineage: Bacteria
Description: SSU rRNA
Rfam family: Bacterial small subunit ribosomal RNA
Source: RNAcentral
AGAGUGAACGCUGGCGGCAUGCCUAACACAUGCAAGUCGAACGGUAACAGGCCCGCAAGGGUGCUGACGAGUGGCGGACGGGUGAGGAAUACAUCGGAAUCUGCCCGGUUGUGGGGGAUAACGUAGGGAAACUUACGCUAAUACCGCAUACGACCGAGAGGUGAAAGCGGGGGACUCGCAAGAGCCUCGCGCGAUCGGAUGAGCCGAUGUCGGAUUAGCUAGUUGGCGGGUAAAGGCCCACCAAGGCGACGAUCCGUAGCUGGUCUGAGAGGAUGAUCAGCCACACUGGGACUGAGACACGGCCCAGACUCCUACGGGAGGCAGCAGUGGGGACUAUUGGACAAUGGGGGCAACCCUGAUCCAGCCAUGCCGCGUGAUUGAUGAAGGCCUUCGGGUUGUAAGCUCUUUGGCGGGGACGAUGAUGACGGUACCCGCAGAAUAAGCCCCGGCUAACUUCGUGCCAGCAGCCGC